Molecule: ribosomal RNA, 253 nt
Filed under: uncultured bacterium
Lineage: Bacteria
Description: partial 16S ribosomal RNA
Rfam family: Bacterial small subunit ribosomal RNA
Source: RNAcentral
UACGGAGGGUGCGAGCGUUGUUCGGAAUCACUGGGCGUAAAGGGCGUGUAGGCGGUCUGUUAAGUCUGAUGUGAAAGCCCGGGGCUCACCCCCGGAAGUGCAUUGGAUACUGGCGGACUCGAGUCUCGGAGAGGAGGGUGGAAUUCCUGGUAUAGCGGUGAAAUGCGUAGAUAUCUGGAGGAACACCGGUGGCGAAGGCGGCAUCCUGGACCGGUAUUGACGCUGAGGCGCGAAAGCUAGGGGAGCAAACGGG